RNAcentral lists this microRNA precursor (79 nucleotides) under Medicago truncatula (barrel medic). RNAcentral's name for it is "MIR5269 microRNA precursor family". It matches the Rfam family "MIR5269 microRNA precursor family". The record is from Rfam by way of RNAcentral. Lineage: Eukaryota; Viridiplantae; Streptophyta; Magnoliopsida; Fabales; Fabaceae.
UUGAUUUAAAUCAUUAUGGAUAUACACUUUGAAAAUUGAACCCACACAAAGUAGUGAGACAUAUAUUGAUUUUAUCCAA